RNAcentral lists this long non-coding RNA (801 nucleotides) under Homo sapiens (human). RNAcentral's name for it is "HSALNT0382395". Lineage: Eukaryota; Metazoa; Chordata; Mammalia; Primates; Hominidae. The record is from RNAcentral.
UGUCUUAAUUCGGUCCUCAGUUAAACUGGCGGUGGGCGCUGCUUUUUUUCCAGGGAAGGAUUCUGGAAGACAUAGGAGGAGACGCCAGCAUUUCGCCCUCCAGCACCUCCUGCGGGCUGUGGUCCGCUUCCGGCCUCACUCGAGCAGACCCCGCCCUCCCAGAGGCCGUUUGUCCAAGUCACGUGAUCGUCGAAUCUGUUGACCUGGCGCCACCGGAAAAAGAAAUUCCCGGGCCCUGGCUUCUUGGCCUGAUGGUGAGGCACCAGAGGCACUGCUAGCCUUGAAGCCUCCAGCCUGCUGGAUGCCUCCAUCCCCGGCUAUGCUGUGGCUCUCCUCAUUCUAGGCCUCCUGCUCGUCACAUUCACCCUUGUCCUGGUGCUAAAGUGGAGGGCCUCCCAUGGGGUGUUCAGCCUGGGUGUGUAGAAGCACACAGUGUGGUACAGAGGACCCUCUCCAGACAGGUGACCCCUCAUGCUGCUGCUCCCUCUGCUGAAACCCAAACUGCAAACCUCUCCUCUCCCUGCCUUCACCUUGCCCCACGGCUUCCACAGACAGUGCCUCAACCCCGAGGAAUGAAUCCGAAGUUCCAACACCACUGACUUUCCCAGGAACUCAGAGCCAGAGAGGGCCAAGGACCAGCUCGAGGACACACAGCCAGGGCUUCUUCCCUCCGAAACCCCCAAGGACUGGACUUGCAGGGCUGGGACAGAGGUGGGGUGGGGGAAAGCAAUGCCUUGUCAACCCACGUGGGGAGCCCCACUCCCAUCCCCAAGGUGCAUAAAGUUGAGGAACACCCCUGCU